CCUACGGGUGGCAGCAGUGGGGAAUAUUGGGCAAUGGAGGAAAGUCUGACCCAGCAACGCCGCGUGAAGGAUGAAGGCCUUCGGAUUGUAAAGUUCUUUUCUAAGGGAAGAAGAAAGUGACGGUACCUUAGGAAUAAGCCUCGGCUAACUACGUGCCAGCAGCCGCGGUAAUACGUAGGAGGCAAGCGUUAUCCGGAUUGACUGGGCGUAAAGGGUGCGUAGGUGGGGUGAGAAGUUGGGAGCGAAACGCCGGGGCUCAACCUGGGCACUGCUACCGAAACUGUCGUCCUUGAGUGCAGGAGGGGCAGCUGGAAUUCCUAGUGUAGCGGUGGAAUGCGUAGAUAUUAGGAGGAACACCAGUGGCGAAGGCGGUUUGCUGGACUGUAACUGACGCUGAGGCACGAAAGCGUGGGGAGCAAACAGGAUUAGAUACCCCUGUAGUC
RNAcentral lists this ribosomal RNA (443 nucleotides) under uncultured bacterium. RNAcentral describes it as "partial 16S ribosomal RNA". It matches the Rfam family "Bacterial small subunit ribosomal RNA", at positions 338 to 795 of the family's 1533-position model. The record is from RNAcentral.